UGUGGAUGUGGCUCAGUGGUAGAGCACUAGCUUGGCCUGUGCAAGGUUCUGGGUUGGAUCCCCAGCACCACAA
Molecule: transfer RNA, 73 nt
Filed under: Marmota monax (woodchuck)
Lineage: Eukaryota; Metazoa; Chordata; Mammalia; Rodentia; Sciuridae
Description: tRNA.Undet
Rfam family: tRNA
About the family: Transfer RNA (tRNA) molecules are approximately 80 nucleotides in length.
Source: RNAcentral